RNAcentral lists this ribosomal RNA (1805 nucleotides) under uncultured archaeon. RNAcentral's name for it is "16S ribosomal RNA". It matches the Rfam family "Archaeal small subunit ribosomal RNA". The record is from RNAcentral.
UCGACGCCCCGCCGCUGCGGGGCGUGGCGCACGGCUGAGUAACACGUGGCUAACCUACCCUCGGGAGGGGGAUAACCUCUCGGGAAACUGGGGCUAAUCCCCCAUAGGCGGGGAGGCCUGGAAGGGUUCCCCGCUGAAAAGGGGCACGGGGGGUUAUCGCCCGCGCUCCGCCCGAGGAUGGGGCUGCGGCCUAUCAGGUAGUUGGCGGGGUAACGGCCCGCCAAGCCGAAGACGGGUAGGGGCCGUGAGAGCGGGAGCCCCCAGAUGGGCACUGAGACAAGGGCCCAGGCCCUACGGGGCGCACCAGGCGCGAAAACUCCGCAAAUAGAGGGCUCCGGCCUCCCAGGCCGGCCCCUAGCGGAAUGCGGGCAACCGUGACGGGGCUACCCCGAGUGCCCCCCUUGUGGGGGCUUUUCCCCGCUGUAAGGAGGCGGGGGAAUAAGCGGGGGGCAAGUCUGGUGUCAGCCGCCGCGGUAAUACCAGCCCCGCGAGUGGUCGGGGUGAUUAUUGGGCCUAAAGCGGCCGUAGCCGGCCCGGCAAGUCCCCCCUGAAAGCCUCGGGCUCAACCCGAGGAGCGGGGGGAUACUGCCGGGCUAGGGGGCGGGAGAGGCCGAGGGUACUCCCGGGGUAACGGGAGGGCGGAGGCUUAGAAAAUCAAAAGCGAAGAUCCAAAACAGGAGAGGAAUAGAGAAACAUAUUACAAGUUCUGACGUUUCUUAGCAGAUGUAACCCCGAAUAGAUGGGGGAACCUCCCCGCUUUAGAGGGAACCCUCGCCCUUCAAAGGGCAGGGAGGAGGUCUGUUUAGGAUUAGCAGAAAGAAUUCUGUUAGUAUGUUCAUCCACCCUUUUGGUCCGCACUCAUUUUCAAGUUAAGUAAGAUUAUACCUCUGCCCCCCGCCCCAGGGGGCGAAAUCCUAUAAUCCCGGGAGGACCACCAGUGGCGAAGGCGCUCGGCUGGAACGCGCCCGACGGUGAGGGCCGAAAGCCGGGGGAGCGAACCGGAUUAGAUACCCGGGUAGGUACGUGUCGCAGGUCAUUUCAUAAGCCUCCUAUAUUACAAUUGAAAGCCUCGCCCUUCAAAGGGCGGGGAGGAGGUCGAUAGUUCGUACAUGGUUAUCCCCCUGCGACCGUACCCCGGAGAGUCCCGGCUGUAAACGAUGCGGGCUAGGUGUUGGGCGGGCGAGAGAGCCCGCCCAGUGCCGCAGGGAAGCCGUUAAGCCCGCCGCCUGGGGAGUACGGCCGCAAGGCUGAAACUUAAAGGAAUUGGCGGGGGAGCACACAAGGGGUGGAGCCUGCGGCUUAAUUGGAGUCAACGCCGGGAAUCUUACCGGGGGCGACAGCAGGAUGACGGCCAGGUUAAAGGCCUUGCCUGACGCGCUGAGGGGAGGUGCAUGGCCGUCGCCAGCUCGUGCCGUGAGGUGUCCUGUUAAGUCAGGUAACGAGCGAGACCCCUGCCCCUAGUUGCAACCCUAGGGGUAGCCCUGGGGGCACACUAGGGGGACUGCCGCCGCUAAGGCGGAGGAAGGAGGGGGCCACGGCAGGUCAGCAUGCCCCUAAUCCCCCGGGCUGCACGCGGGCUACAAUGGCGGGGACAGCGGGUGUCGACCCCGAAAGGGGGAGGCAAUCCCUCAAACCCCGCCUCAGUUGGGAUCGAGGGCUGGAACUCGCCCUCGUGAACGUGGAAUCCCUAGUAACCGCGCGUCAACAUCGCGCGGUGAAUACGUCCCUGCUCCUUGCACACACUGCCCGUCGCUCCACCCGAGGGGGGCCUGGGUGAGGCCUCUGCCGCCGGGCGGGGACGAACC